AGGCAGCACUGAGCCAGUUAGUUAUCAAGGUGAGGUCAGAGGGCAACAACAAUGGCAGGCAGCACAAAGAGGAGGAAAAACAUGUAACUGACAAGAAAAGUUCAAAAGUAAGCUGAAGAUCUGUGCUGAAGGAUUUUGCUCGCUUCUCCAGCGCCUGAGGAGAGUUUACUGAUGCUGUUUGCUGCAGCCAGAGGCCUGAACGCUGCUGUAAGGCAGACAGCUCAUCAGGAUGAGUGACAAGCUUCUGGGCAGGAACAACAGCAGCAGAGGAGGAGAGGGCCAGACUAACAAUAGAGGCUGUGCCUGGAGGCGAAGACUGGAGGAGAGAUCAUCUCGGAAACCAAAGGCCACACAGUUGAAUCUUGCAGCCGCCAGCCUGUCAAAGUGUCACCGAGCAAGGAACUGAACUCCCACCUGCUUACUCAGAGCGUGAGGGGAGUUCAGAUCGUAGUGGCGCAGUGUGCAGCUGAGUGCUAUUUAAUUACCUGCUUUUGGAAAACCACUGGGAAUGCAACUAAUUUAGGACUUGUUUGAAGGGUAAACAAAUGCGCCAGAAGAUGUCUCCCAUCACCCUCCCAGCAGAGGAAGAGGAGGGGGCACGAGAGGCAGAAGCUGCUUUUUAUCACAAAUAUUAUAAUAGCUGUCUGCGAAGCUCUUGGAGGGAACUGAAGGCAUGCAGUAAUAGUGACAUUGAAUGGUCUUAACUUUGCAUAACACCACAGUGAAUUGAUCAAGCUUUGGGUUGUGCUGGUAUUCAAAUAGCGAGCUUUGUUCUGAAACACACUCGCCGAGCGUAAAGGCUUUGGAAACAAAAGCAGGAGAAUAAAACAGAAAAUAACUUUUUUAUCCUCGAGCACAGUUUUUCAAACCUGCAGGUGUAGGAGCGAGCUGAAAUGUUGACAGAUAUGCCGAGUAGGUUUGAGACAUCAGGUGUGGAUGUCUAAUUUUGGACCUUGACGAAAUCUUUAUUGUUCAAAUGGGUACAUUACAUUCUCCGCCGGUUUUACUGUGGAUAAAUCAGAAGCCAACAAAACAUGAAAAAGUCUUUGUUGCUGUCAAGUUCGAGCCAAGUUCAGUGUUUCAAAGCAGCAGAAACGUGAUGACAAAUGUGGUCUCUGUGCCACCAUUGUGACAUCUACUGUUUCUGUUGUUCUUUUGUCUGAAGUAAGUUGAACGAUUUACUUUACAUGUCAGGUUUUUAGCAUUUAUCUAUUCAAUACACAUGCAUUUUGCAGUAAAGAGCAGUUUUUCCUAAUGGAUUCACUUGGUUCACUCUGAAUGGCCCCCAAGAAAACA
Long non-coding RNA from Siniperca chuatsi (mandarin fish), 1296 nucleotides. RefSeq lists it as uncharacterized. The transcript is spliced from 3 exons. NCBI's taxonomy places the organism in Eukaryota, Metazoa, Chordata, Actinopteri, Centrarchiformes, Sinipercidae. The record is from RefSeq and is a predicted model, not a curated record.